Molecule: ribosomal RNA, 254 nt
Filed under: uncultured bacterium
Lineage: Bacteria
Description: partial 16S ribosomal RNA
Rfam family: Bacterial small subunit ribosomal RNA
Source: RNAcentral
UACGUAGGGUGCAAGCGUUAAUCGGAAUUACUGGGCGUAAAGCGUGCGCAGGCGGUUUUGUAAGUCUGUCGUGAAAUCCCCCGGGCUUAACCUGGGAACUGCGCUUGUAACUGGCAAGCUGGAGUGUGGCAGAGGGGGGUGGAAUUCCACGUGUAGCAGUGAAAUGCGUAGAGAUGUGGAGGAACACCGAUGGCGAAGGCAGCCCCCUGGGCUAACACUGACGCUGAAGCACGAAAGCGUGGGGAGCAAACAGG